GCGAUGGCGUACUGUCAAAAUAAGAUUAAGAGUAAUGUGAAGAACUUCAUCAUCAUCUAUAAAGGCAGUGGUAAACCUCAAGACAACAUACAGUAGAAGGCAGGGUAAAACAUCCUCCCUGCCUCUUAUUAAGAUAUUUUGUGCAGAUUUCAAAUUUGUCAACUGAUGGAAUAUGGAAGGGAAUGGAAUAUGGACAUUUCUCCUUGUUAACGUUAGUAAGCUAUCAACUCAGUAAAGUAUAAGUAAAGUUAUUCCCUCAAAAAUUAUGAUACGUGAUCAUUGUGCAAGAGAAUCUAAUUGAAUCAUCUUUCUUGUAGAAGAGCCUGGUGAAAUAGUAAACCUGACGAUUGUGAUCCUGGGCGCUGUGACUGUUUUCCUUUUAAUGGUCAUCCUUUUAAUGGUUGUUAAAAUCAGGAAACUUCAGACAGCUGAUGAAGUAGAUCCAAAUCCAGAGCAAAGUGAGAAAGAGGACUCUGAUGACCUGAACUACACAGCAGUGACAUUUCAAACAGAAAAAUGAAAGAGAAAAGAGCUGGAGCCGAAUGUUGCGCUGCCACCAGAUAAGACUCGGGAGGCAACUAGAACUGAUGCCCUGUGUUGAAUACAUCUGCUUUUGGAGCUUCUGUGUGGCCUAAACAUUUCAAUUUGACCAAUAAAGAGCUAAUGUUCAUUCA
Molecule: long non-coding RNA, 674 nt
Organism: Perca flavescens (yellow perch)
Lineage: Eukaryota; Metazoa; Chordata; Actinopteri; Perciformes; Percidae
Exons: 3
Source: RefSeq, a predicted model, not a curated record